AGAACCCGAUCCCAUCUCGAACUCGGCCGUUAAACACACCAGCGCCCAUGGUACUGUGUCUCAAGACACGGGAGAGUCAGUCGCCGCCA
RNAcentral lists this ribosomal RNA (89 nucleotides) under Methylobacterium iners. The record is from RNAcentral. Lineage: Bacteria; Pseudomonadati; Pseudomonadota; Alphaproteobacteria; Hyphomicrobiales; Methylobacteriaceae.